AUGCUCGCUGCAGCAGCCCAUAUACUAAAAUUGGAACAAUACAGAGAUUAGCCUGGCCUCUGGGCAAGGAUGAUAGAAUUUACUUUCCAGUUUUCAGGUUUCCUU
Suncus etruscus (white-toothed pygmy shrew) is the source of this 105-nucleotide small nuclear RNA. The record is from RefSeq and is a predicted model, not a curated record. Lineage: Eukaryota; Metazoa; Chordata; Mammalia; Eulipotyphla; Soricidae.